RNA transcript from Oreochromis niloticus (Nile tilapia), 2754 nucleotides. It is a transcript of the gene named zinc finger protein 726, with no coding region annotated. NCBI's taxonomy places the organism in Eukaryota, Metazoa, Chordata, Actinopteri, Cichliformes, Cichlidae. The record is from RefSeq and is a predicted model, not a curated record. The transcript has 4 exons.
GAUGGAUUUUUUUUGUUGUUUUUUUCUAUAACGGUACAAAUAAUGAAAGGUGAUGGAUUGGCCAGAUGCUGGCCGGUGUGUAAAAAUAAGUCAGUUGUUUGGUGGUGGCUAUGCAACAUUCAGCAUCUGAUCCUUGUUCGUCUGUGUGCUUCUGCGUUUGUGUCAAAUGUCAAACAGCUGGAAAGGAAACUACACCAGUGCACUGGGAUGUUUCCCCAACUCGUGCCAGACGCUGUUCCUGCCUGUGAAGGUAACAUCAGCAGAGACAGCCCGCCUACCUCAGGACCUCGCCAAGUCACGUAUUGAUCACGAUGGUUAUGAAGAUGACAGCGAGCGGAAGACUGUAAAAAUCCACCACCAGAAUGUUUAGAUGCUUUCUAAUUAUUAAUGAAUAUCGUGUUUGUGUGUUUUGGGUUUUGUUUUUUUGGCCUCAUUUGUUACUAACAAAGGUCACCAAGCUCAGUUUACAUUCUGUAUGUGUUUUCAUCUUUAGCAGCCACACUCUGACUGCAAUUAAGAAAAACACAAACUUUUAAAUAUUGAAGGGGUUCAGGUAGAGCCGGCUUAUGAAUUACUAUGAACACUUACCAUACUGUACCUGUACAACAUGUUUUUGUAUGAGACAGAUUUGUAACAGAGGCCUUAGUCUCAGUAAGUUUGAAGUCCUUUCCUGAUUUAUUUUGCAAUCUCUGCUCUUUCAUUGAUGAUAAUUCAGUGCUGCUUCCCUUUUUCCCAACGACCGAGACUGUCGGAGUCGGGGCUCGAACCGGCAACCUUCCAAUUAGAAGACAAACUGCCACGAUCGCCCAUAAAGUGCAAGUGUUCCUGAGUGUUAACAGCACAGUUAACGUUCAAUCAGGGUGGAGGUAGGGCAUGUUUGACAGCCUGUGGGUAAAAGCUUCUAUUGAGUCUGAUUAUCUUUGACCUGAUGGAUCUGUAGCGUUUACCAGAGGGAAUGGGGGAAAACGUGUGUGUCCAGGGUGCGAGGGGUCCUUGAUGAUGAUGAUACUGGCUUUCCGCUGAAGUCUGCCAGUAUAAAUGUCUUUGAGGGGGGUUAGUGAAGUGCCAAUUGCCCGCUCUGGCACCCUCACCACCCGCUGAAGUUUCCUCCUUGUCCUCCACAGUACAGCAGUUGAACCAGAGUGUGCAGCCGUAGGUCAGAAGAACAUAUGAGACACUUUGACUGUUCAGUGCAGUGUGGAGCCUAACAAAGGUCUGUUUUGUGUCCCAGCUGAUCAGCAGGAGGAGAAAAGUCUGAGGGAGCAGCAGAGGAACAUUUUCAGCCGUUUGCACUCAGCUCAGCUACUACAGAGAAAAUGAUGAGCUCAACACAGAAGGACCAACAUGGACCGAAAAGUCAGCGCUCUCAGGAGGCCGACAAACCUCACAGAAGAAAGAGAGAGAAAAACUACAGCUGUGACGAGUGUGGGAAGGAUUUUUCUCGCAAAGCUUCACUAUCAAGGCAUCAAGUCAUCCACACUGGAGAGAGACCGUUCAGCUGUGAUCAGUGUGGAAAGUCUUUUCCCUGGGAUAGUUGCCUAAGAAAACACCAACUCUUCCACAGAGGAGUUAAAGCGUACAGCUGUGAUCAGUGUGGCAGAGGUUUUGAUCGCAGUUGCAGCUUACAGAGGCAUCUGGUUACCCACUCUGGAACUAAGACAUAUAGCUGUGACAUUUGUGGAAAAACUUUCAGUCGGCGAGACAGCCGAAAUAAACACCUACGCAUUCACACCAGACAUGUUGUGUACUGGUGUGAUCAGCGUGGCCAACGGUUUAUAACAGAUGCACAGUUACAAAGCCACAUGUUUACCCACACUGAGGAGAAACCUUAUAAAUGUGACCUGUGUGAGAAGACUUUUGAACUGAAAAAGUAAUUGGAGUAAAAAAAGCAGAGCGACGCAGAUGGAUCCAGUUCUCAACCCUGUCAUCGCUGUGGUGGUGGGAAAGACUUUUGUUGUGACCUUUGUGGAAAAUGUUUCGGUCAUGCAAAGAGCCUAAAAAUACAUCAACGUAGACACACUGGAGAGAAACUGAAAUACUGCAAAGAAUGUGGGAGAAGCUUCACCAGAUCACAUGAGUUAAAACACCAUGAAGUCAUUCACAGUGGGGUUAAAAAGCACCUCUGUGAUCAGUGUGGGUCAUCGUUCACCACUGCAGGUGAGCUUAAAACACACAAACGAGUCCACACAGGAGAGAAACCAUACAAGUGCACACAUGGUCACACACACACAGCUGUGACCGGUGUGACAAGACUUUCAGGAAUCUCAGUUCAUACUCUGAACACAAACGAUCCCACGCUGCAGAUAAACUGUUUCACUGCUUCAAAUGUGCAAAAACCUUCACUUCACUAUCUGCUCUGUGCAAACAUCAGCGUGAUCACGCGGGGCGGAAAUCAUUCCCAUCUCCGGAUCACGGUGAAUCUGGUGUCAGGGUCAGAAUUAAAACUGUUGAGAUCCGACUCCACAGAUUUCAGCUGGAAUCUCAUGUAAAGAACUGAUGAGGCUGCUGUAAAUAUAAAUGUUCCUGCAGUUACAUCUUAAGCUUUCUAAACUCUUCUACUUUAGUGUUCUUAUCGAGUGGUUAGCUUUGUUUUGUUGGAAGAAGAAAUCUGUUGUUAUGUAAUCAAGUUGUUAUUGAAUGUAUUUUGAUCCAUGUGUUCUGUAGGUGUUCUUUGUUCAGGCUGUCUGUGUUAUGAAACGUUGCAACGGUUAAAUAAAAAAUCAAAAUGUUCAAUAAAGAAAUGGUUUAAUGACA